RNAcentral lists this RNase P RNA (345 nucleotides) under Bacilli bacterium. RNAcentral describes it as "RNase P RNA component class B". It matches the Rfam family "Bacterial RNase P class B". Rfam says of the family: Ribonuclease P (RNase P) is a ubiquitous endoribonuclease, found in archaea, bacteria and eukarya as well as chloroplasts and mitochondria. Its best characterised activity is the generation of mature 5'-ends of tRNAs by cleaving the 5'-leader elements of precursor-tRNAs. Lineage: Bacteria; Bacillati; Bacillota; Bacilli. The record is from RNAcentral.
AUUUCUGGGCAAAUGCUGCAUAAAAUUAGUAUGUAGAGGAAAGUCCAUGCUCGCACAGGCUGCGAUGCUUGUAGUGUUCGUGCCUAAGGAAAAAAUAACUUAGGGUAGUUUUUAACUAACGGCUUUGAGGAAACCUGCUAGGUGGUUUUAGUAGAUAUAAAAGUGCCAUAGAGACGAGUCAUUUUGGAAACGAAAUGAGUGGAACGAGGUAAACCCCACGAGCGAGAAACCCAAAUUUUGGUAGGGGAGCUUAAAAGAUGGAAGCUGAACGUCUUUUAGGAUUGAGUAAUCAAUAGAUAAAUAUUUGCCACUUACUUAUGUAAGGACAGAACAUGGCUUAUAAGG